AUGACAAUAGUAACUAAAAAAUUACAAUGGAAUCAUCUUAUGCAUAUUAUUAUGUCACUUGAUUUUUACACACACAGACUUUCUCAUGGUGGAGAAAUUGACAAACCGAUACUUAAAACAUUAUUCUUUUCUUUUCUUUCUUUCUUUUUAUUUUAUUUUAUUUUUUUUUUUUUUUUUUUUUUUUUUUUUUUUUUUUUUUUUUUUUUUUUUUUUUUUAAAAGGAUUUUUUUUUUUUUUUUUUUUUUUUUUUUUUUUUUUUUUUUUUUUUUUUUUUUUUUUUUUUUUUCUUUUCUUUUUUCUUCCCUUUCCUUCCUUUCUUUUGGUUUAGAGAAGCCCUUUCAAUAUUUCCUUUAACCUGGGUUUUGUGUUGCUGUAUUCUUUAAGUUUUUGUUUGUUGGGAAAAAUUUUUAUUUCCCCUUCUAUUUUAAAUGAUAUUCUUGCUGGAUAAAGUAUUCUAGGUUGCAUAUUUUUUCCUUUGAGCACUUUAAAUAUCUCUUGCCAUUCCCUCCUGGCCUGUAGUGUUUCUGUAGAGAAAUCAGCUGAUAUUCUUAUGGGGGUUCCCUUGUAGGUAACAUUCUGUUUUUCUCUUGCUGCCUUUAGGAUCCUCUCUUUAUCACUAACUUUUGCCAUUUUUAUUAUGAUGUGUCUUGGUGUGGGUCUGUUUGGGUUCAGUUUGUUUGGGGCCCUCUGUGCUUCUUGUAUCUUGAAUCCAGUAUCCUUUAGAUUUGGGAAGUUUCCAGCGAUAAUUUCUUCAAAUAUAUUUUCCAUUCCCUUAUCUUUUUCUACUCCUUCUGGAAUUCCUAUUAUGCGUAGAUUGGCUCGUUUUAUAUUAUCCCAUAGGUCUCUUAUAUUGCUUUCCAGUUUUUUGAUUCGGUUUUCUGUCUGUUGACCAGAUUGAGUGAUUUCCAUUAUUCUAUCUUCCAUAUCACUGAUUCGUUCUUCUGCAUUAUUCAUUCUGGUUUUUACUGCCCCUAGUUCAGUUUGCAUCUCUGCAAAUGAAUGUUCUAGUUUUUCUUGGCUCCUCCUUAUAUUUUCUAGCUCCUUUCUGAGGGUAUCUGCAUUGCUGUUCAUAUCUUCUCUUAAUUCCUUCAGUAUUUUCACUAUUUCUCUUUUGAACUCCAGGUCUGUCAGACUGCAGAGAUCAGUUUCAUUGUUGACUGUUUUAGGUGAGUUCUCCUGUUGGUUUGACUGGGGGUGGUUUCUCAGCUUCUUCAUCUUGCUUGUUGUCUUCUUUCUCCUGAGGGAGUUGUACUCUCCGUUAUCGGUAGUGUUUGCCUUGUCACUGCCGUGGAAUAUUUCCUGAGGGCUGUCGUUGUUGGUCAAUCUUUUUUUGAGGCAGUGUGGCUUUUCUGGA
This 1354-nucleotide long non-coding RNA is filed under the name Sus scrofa (pig). RNAcentral describes it as "lncRNA (ENSSSCG00070004589.1)". The record is from RNAcentral. Lineage: Eukaryota; Metazoa; Chordata; Mammalia; Artiodactyla; Suidae.